UGUUUCAUCUUUAGUAGCCAAACUGGAUCCACUUGUUCCUGUGCUGGGAGGUCUGCUGGCCUGCUGUGCGACUGUUUGUGUGCUCCUGCUUACUUAUUUAUACAGAAGAAGAACUUCUGAACAUCAGAAAGAAACAAUUACUUUCAGUUUAGCAGAAGAACAGUUAAAUCCAAAUCAGGGUAAAGAAGAGCCGGCAAAGAUGUAUGCAGCACUUGACUUUUCCAUGAAAAGAGCAGAACCUAGGAGGAAUCAAGAGAGCGGAGAGUCUUCAGCCUGUUUGUACACAACAGUACAAGCAGCUUCGUAAAACACGUAGUAGAUUCAGUCAAAGCAGGACCUAAAUCUAUGGAUGUUUGCAGAUUGUAAACAACUAAAUACUGAAGGAUUGUUGUUUGUGGAUGUUCGUUAUGUGCAGUUUAUUAAAGACCGAAAUGUGCAAAUAUGAUUUA
This is a non-coding RNA of Oryzias latipes (Japanese medaka), 449 nucleotides long. The record is from RefSeq and is a predicted model, not a curated record. Lineage: Eukaryota; Metazoa; Chordata; Actinopteri; Beloniformes; Adrianichthyidae.